RNAcentral lists this transfer RNA (85 nucleotides) under Hyphomicrobiales bacterium. Its description in RNAcentral is "tRNA-Leu". It matches the Rfam family "tRNA". From Rfam's summary of the family: Transfer RNA (tRNA) molecules are approximately 80 nucleotides in length. Their secondary structure includes four short double-helical elements and three loops (D, anti-codon, and T loops). Lineage: Bacteria; Pseudomonadati; Pseudomonadota; Alphaproteobacteria; Hyphomicrobiales. The record is from RNAcentral.
GCGGGCGUGGCGGAAUGGUAGACGCUAGCGACUUAAAAUCGCUUGGGCUGGUCCCGUGGGGGUUCGACUCCCCCCGCCCGCACCA